AGACUACGACGUUGAUAGGUCAGGUGUGUAAGUGCUGUGAGUCAUUGAGCUAACUGAUACUAAUUGCCCGUGAGGCUUAACCAUACAUCACCCAAGGGGUUU
This 102-nucleotide ribosomal RNA is filed under the name Vibrio parahaemolyticus. RNAcentral's name for it is "partial 23S ribosomal RNA". The stretch from base 1 to 84 matches the Rfam family "Bacterial large subunit ribosomal RNA", at positions 2842 to 2925 of the family's 2925-position model. The record is from RNAcentral. Lineage: Bacteria; Pseudomonadati; Pseudomonadota; Gammaproteobacteria; Vibrionales; Vibrionaceae.